GGAAGACCAGAAAAUUAGGCUUGAGGGUCUCCUAGCUAGGAACUCACUCAGGGUUAUGCCACAGAAAUGAUUAGAAGACAUCACUGCCUCUGUCACUGUCCCUGGACUCAGACCCAGCAGCCAGUAUCUACCACCCCCAACACUACCUCUAGGUUGGUUGGGAGCCCUGAACACACUGAGUCUGCCCCAAGCAAGAUGAGCAGUUCUCACCUUAUGGCCACCUCUUCACUUCCUGCUGGGGCCUUCCAGCAUGGCUCAUAGAGUGAUCACUGGCUUCACUUCCUUUGGCUGAAGCUCAUCUGCCAUAUCUUCUUUGAAAGCAAAGAAGCUAUUUUAAUAAAGCCCAAGGAGGUUAGCAAGAAAUUAUUUCUGCUCUGGAAUAUGGGCUCUGUUGUCACAUCAUCUAAGAGAACCUACAAAUCUAGACUUUUGUGUAAAUUUGAAAAUUAUUCCAGUCUUGCAUCUUAAUCUUCAGUUUGUAAUCCUUAAGGGAACUCAAAUCUUAGUCCAAGAAGAGGCCUUUAAAAAAAAGGGCAUUUCUGCCCCCCACCCCCACCCCAUCUGCUCUUCUUGCCUCGUUUAAUAACACCUUACUUCUCACAAACCCCUUCUGAUGUUGUCCAUCUCACUAGGCCAAGGAAACCCAGCUAUGCUCCCAGGAACAUCAAGAGAUUGCUUCCUUACCACCCCCUGACCCCUUACCUACUCCUGUGCCCCAACACUGCAG
RNAcentral lists this long non-coding RNA (727 nucleotides) under Homo sapiens (human). RNAcentral describes it as "HSALNT0190495". Lineage: Eukaryota; Metazoa; Chordata; Mammalia; Primates; Hominidae. The record is from RNAcentral.